Molecule: ribosomal RNA, 253 nt
Filed under: uncultured bacterium
Lineage: Bacteria
Description: partial 16S ribosomal RNA
Rfam family: Bacterial small subunit ribosomal RNA
Source: RNAcentral
UACGGAGGUCCCGAGCGUUGUUCGGAUUCACUGGGCGUAAAGGGUGCGUAGGCGGUGAGGUAAGUCGGAUGUGAAAUCUCCAGGCUCAACCUGGAAACUGCAUUGGAAACGACCUUGCUGGAGGAUUUGAGGGGGGAUUGGAAUACUUGGUGUAGCAGUGAAAUGCGUAGAUAUCAAGUGGAACACCAGUGGCGAAGGCGAAUCCCUGGACAACACCUGACACUGAGGCACGAAAGCUAGGGGAGCAAACAGG